GAAUGCCAGGCUCAGAGAAGACGAAGAUCCAUCUAGCAAAUGGUGGCCAGCCUGUCUGACCAUGGUAUAUAGCAUGGAAUACUAAGCCUCACUGCGUUCAGCCCAGAGACUUGAGCGAUCUUUUGGCACUGCUCAAAUCAAACCUUGUAGGAAGACACCCGCAUCACUGGAAGUGUGUGCUCAGCUUUGUCCUUGUCACCUGCCAUGUCAGGAGUUUGUGUUGGAACUCCCUUCCUAAGCCAGAAGUAAAGGGGAUAACUGUGAACCAGUGAUCGAGUUGGGGAUUUAAAACAGUGUGUCCAUCAAGUGGGUAGCAGCAGACACCUGAGUGCUUAUGAUCUGCCAGGCACUAGGGCUUGAAGAUGUCACCACAGCAGCCGGUAAGCCCAACAGGGCGGGCAAGAGCACCGAUUCAUUCGCACACACGGGGACUGUGGGGCUGUGCGCUGGGGAGAUGCCCAUGAAUAAAACAUCCUUCCUCUUAUUCAAGAGAAGACGAAACCAAAUUGCCCUGUGAUGUGACUGAAUCUGCAAUUUAAAGAGAGGAGCACGUGCGAAUUUCUUUCUGUUCCAUCGCAGCAGCCCCUCUGUUCUCACACACUCCGCCCCCCAACCUGUCGUCACUCAGAGAUGUGGGGCUCUGGGCGCUUGAAUGAAUUAAACAGACUCAUUGGCGCGUGAGGGCUGGGAGGAGGGAAAAGGAGAAGGUGGCAGAGGAAGAUGGAGGAUAAAUUAAAAAGAGGGCAAGGAUUAGAGCGGAAACCAGGAAUGACCUGGAAGAGAGACCUGGAAUGUUCCAGUUGGAACCAUCAUAUUACUAACCACGAGAAUGGGGCACAUUUGUUGAGUUCUUUUAGUACCAGGCAGUGUUCUAGGUCUUUUAUACCUAUUAGCAUAUUGAAUCUUUCCAACUGCCCAAGGAGACGGCUGCUGUCAUAAACAACUCCGUAUGACUGAUGAGAAACUGGAAGCUCUGAGGGGAACGAUGAUUUGGCCAAGAUACUGCCACCAACUGGAGGCCCCUCUUACCUGGAGCCUGUACUUGUCCAGUGGCCUCUGCACAGAUGCCCGUGACACUGUGGGACAGUCACACACUGGACUGGCUCCUCUUCUUCUGACUCUUGGGCAGUGCUAAUGUAUUUCAGCAGCAAUUUAACCUCAGAGACCUGUAGGCCUACAUGGGACAGAUGACGCACAGAGCAUCUUGCCUGAGCCUGCUGGCCUCACCACAAUGCCCUUGAACUGUCUGUGGCCUACAGAGGCCUUCCAGUGAAAGACCACCAAGUCUCAUGUUCUUCCUCAUGGGACAACACAGGAACUGGUCUACAAUGAUGAAAAUACUGUACUCCAACAGAUUUUCUGGGAAAAUAUUCUUGCCUCUUUUGAUAACUCCUCUCAAUAUUUGCAGCGUUGUUCAGCUCUAACCUAGAUUUAAGUUCUUCCUACAACCCAAAGUGGUUGGUUCUCUUUGGUCUGAUCCUCAGGUGAGAAACUCCAGGAUGUUCGCCACUGUGUUGGGAGUGGGUGAGUAUAGGAAGGAAGGUAGAGAAUAGUAGAGAUUCCUACGGUUCCUGCAAAACCAACAAGCAUAAGCCAUGGGAGAUAUAAGAGCUACCAUUUGUUGCGUACCUACUCUGUAUGCAGUACCCUGCAUGGAUUUGCCAACUUCUCAUCACAGGUAGGAUCAGUUAUCCAUAUUCAACGAAGCUGGAGCCAGGAUGAGGUUGCUUGCCUGAUGUCACAGCAAUCAUGAAAACUGCAUAACUAGAGAGAGGUUUAUGAUUCCAAUCUUGUAACAUUCAUCUGUGUGAAAAGCACCUGUGAGUAUAUCCUCCAUGCCAGACACUGGUCUAGGCACUGAGAACACAAAACACACACGGAUAUAAACAUGUUGACAAAUAUCUCUGCCUUACUCAUUUCCAUUAUUUCCAGAAUCACAGCCACAAUGGAGACUGAAACACUAUGCCCAGAUGGGUAAGACAGUCCAAAGAUGCUGACUGGCAUGCUCUUGGUCACACGGGAAAUCCACAGGCAGAGCCAGGAGUCCUGACUCUUGACCUCUCUUUGGUGUUCCUCCCAGAUUUGGAGGCCAACUUUCCUAGGCAGUCAGAGACCCUUUUAUGUUUUGGUUUCCUCACCAAAACAUAAUAGAUUUCCUCAUUGCUUUGGAGGGUUUUCCUUGCUGUGCAAGCCUGGUGGAGGGGAAAGCUCUUGUUCCUCAUCUUCCUCUUCUAAGUACGUAGAUGCACAGCAUUGCGGGAUUUUUCUUCUCUUUCUUCUUCUCCUUCUUCUUUUUUUUUUUUGUGCAUGGUAUUUAUGAGGGCUUUUUCCCCUGCGGCUGCCCCAUGUUCUGAAAUGUGAACAUGGCAAACAGGAUGGAUACAUUUUUAGAGCAGUAAGUACAACCAGAUGUGGAUGAGGCUGAAGAAAUACAGGAAGCUUUUGUGAGGGACACAGAGCCUGGAGGCCCAGCCUAUUCCUCUCCUCUCUGGGGAAAUGAGUUUAAGACUAGCAAAACACCACAGUCAAGGUGUUCUGCAAAUAAGUAUGCCAGCUCCGUGAACCCUCUGCCAGACCAGGGGCCUGGUGCUACACCCAUUCAUCCAGCUCUUCAUAACAGCAGAUGGUAGCCAGGCGCUUGACACAGCCUCUUUCAUCUCAUUCCAACAAUCGCACACAUGAAACUGACGGACUCCAGGCUCAGCUGGGCUAAGUAAACUGGCCAAAGUCGCACAGGUAGGCAGCCAGCAAGGUUGACAUGCAGACCAGGACCACUGGGCUGAAAGCCCACUUUCCUUUCGGCCACCAUACUAUCUCUCUAGGCCACUCUCUCUCCCAGGAUCUGCUGGCCAAGGACAGAGGAUACACCAUCCCCACUACCAGUCAAUGGGAAAUGCUUCCUGGGAGUAUUGUGCAGCCAGUGACGAGACAGUACUUAUCCUUGAAGAAUUCAAAAUGAACAAAGAAGCAGGAUGUGAAUGCAUCCAACAGCUGGGAGUGACACUUGGCAGUAGGUACCCGACCAUGUUUAGUCCUGGAGAAGAACAUGUAGAUGCUUCAAGAGCUACCUGCACAACAACAGGCUGGAGAGAUUUAAGCCACAUCUUGAAAGACAGGAGGGAUUUGGAGAGGCAGUGGGGUGUGAGAAGUACACAAUGCUGAGUGUGUAAAAACAGCAGGGGUGCAGAGAAAAAUUAGAGAGGUGGGGUCAGGGAGAUGAAAAGUAACACUUCUCAGCACUGACUUCAGGAAUAGUGCUGGGGCCUACAUAUAUUAUCUCACUUACUUAAAUCAACUACAUUUGUAAGAAACCACUUGCAUAUUCGUGUACAGUUCAAUGAAUUUUAAUAAAUGUAUGAAGUGCCUUCAGUGUUCUUUUGUAGUCAGUUACCUGCCUCUUCACCCCAGCCAACCAAGCACUAAUCAACUUGCUGUUGUUAUAAAUUGGAUUUGGUUCUGCUAGAUUUCAUGUAAAUAGCAUCACCCAGUAAAAAGCCUUUUAUGUUUGGCAA
Cavia porcellus (domestic guinea pig) is the source of this 3512-nucleotide long non-coding RNA. RefSeq lists it as uncharacterized. NCBI's taxonomy places the organism in Eukaryota, Metazoa, Chordata, Mammalia, Rodentia, Caviidae. The record is from RefSeq and is a predicted model, not a curated record. The transcript is spliced from 2 exons.